AGCUCCAAUAGCGUAUAUUAAAGUUGCUGCAGUUAAAAAGCUCGUAGUUGGAUUUCUGGACUGAAGCAUUUAGCCGGCCGCGGUUUCGCGUGUUAGUGCUGGAUGCUCUGUCCAUCCUUCCAAUCGCUAUUGGCUAUUCUUCAUUGAAUGGUCCGUAGUAUUGGAUCUUUUACUUUGAAAAAAUUAGAGUGUUUCAAGCAGGCUUUAUGCUAUGAAUACAUUAGCAUGGAAUAAUAAUUUAGGACUUCGGUUCUAUUUUGUUGGUUUCUAGGACUGAAGUAAUGAUUGAUAGGGACAGUUGGGGGUGCUAGUAUUCAGCGGCCAGAGGUGAAAUUCUUGGAUUCGCUGAAGACUAACUUAUGCGAAAGCAUUCACCAAGGAUGUCUUCU
Molecule: ribosomal RNA, 389 nt
Filed under: uncultured eukaryote
Lineage: Eukaryota
Description: SSU rRNA
Rfam family: Eukaryotic small subunit ribosomal RNA
Source: RNAcentral